RNAcentral lists this long non-coding RNA (249 nucleotides) under Lathyrus oleraceus (garden pea). RNAcentral describes it as "Pisum sativum (pea) long non-coding RNA (PSAT_LNC041973)". Lineage: Eukaryota; Viridiplantae; Streptophyta; Magnoliopsida; Fabales; Fabaceae. The record is from RNAcentral.
GUAGGUUGUCAGGUAACUCUUCCCUUAUCUUAUUUCGAAACAUUGGGGACAAUGUUCGAUUUAAGUGUGGGAGGAGACUCUAUCGUCUUUUCUUUAUUGCUUUUCUUGUCUUUUCUUUAUCGCUUUUCUUUGUUGUUUUUAGAUAGUUUGUUUAUUUUUAUUGCCUUUUAGUUGUUUAUUUUGCUUUUUAGUUUAAGUGUCUUAGAUAAUGCAUGAGUCUGAUGAGUCACCAAAUAUAGUGUAUCUUUA